RNAcentral lists this ribosomal RNA (864 nucleotides) under uncultured archaeon. RNAcentral's name for it is "bacterial SSU rRNA". It matches the Rfam family "Archaeal small subunit ribosomal RNA", at positions 4 to 873 of the family's 1478-position model. The record is from RNAcentral.
UCGGUUGAUCCUGCCGGAGGUCACUGCUAUCGAGGUUCGACUAAGCCAUGCGAGUCGAAUGCCGCAAGGCAUGGCGUACUGCUCAGUAACACGUGGAUAACCUACCCUUGGGACGGGCAUAAACCCGGGAAACUGGGUAUAAUUCCCGAUAGGUCUGGGAGGCUGGAAUGCAUUCAGACUGAAAGCUCCGGCACCCAAGGAUGGGUCUGCGGCCUAUCGGGUAGUAGUGGGUGUAAUGUACCUACUAGCCUACUACGGGUACGGGUUGUGAGAGCAAGAGCCCGGAGAUGGAUUCUGAGACACGAAUCCAGGCCCUACGGGGUGCAGCAGGCGCGAAAACUUUACAAUGCGGGCAACCGCGAUAAGGGGACCUCGAGUGCCGACAUCAAAUGUCGGCUGUCGUGAUGCCUAAAAAGCAUUAUAUAGCAAGGGCCGGGCAAGACCGGUGCCAGCCGCCGCGGUAACACCGGCGGCUCGAGUGGUGACCGCUAUUAUUGGGUUUAAAGGGUCUGUAGCCGGCCGGAUAAGUCUCUUGAGAAAUCUGGCCGCUCAACGGUCAGGCUUUCAGGAGAUACUGUCUGGCUCGAGGCCGGGAGGGGUGAGAGGUACUUCAGGGGUAGGGGUGAAAUCUUGUAAUCCUUGAAGGACCACCAGUGGCGAAGGCGUCUCACCAGAACGGANCUGACGGCAAGGGACGAAAGCUAGGGGCACGGACCGGAUUAGAUACCCGGGUAGUCCUAGCCGUAAACGAUACUCGCUAGGUGUCGGCCACGGUGCGACCGUGGUCGGUGCCNCAGGGAAACCGUGAAGCGAGCCACCUGGGAAGUACGGCCGCAAGGCUGAAACUUAAAGGAAUUGGCGGGG